Molecule: transfer RNA, 75 nt
Filed under: Acetohalobium arabaticum DSM 5501
Lineage: Bacteria; Bacillati; Bacillota; Clostridia; Halanaerobiales; Halobacteroidaceae
Also listed under: 1 other name
Description: tRNA-Ala (GGC) (tRNA-Ala-GGC-1-1)
Rfam family: tRNA
About the family: Transfer RNA (tRNA) molecules are approximately 80 nucleotides in length.
Source: RNAcentral
GGGGAUAUAGCUCAGUGGGAGAGCGCUUGUCUGGCAGACAAGAGGUCGAGGGUUCAAGUCCCUCUAUCUCCACCA